UGACAGAGGGUGCGAGCGUUGUUCGGAAUUAUUGGGCGUAAAGGGCGCGUAGGCGGUGCGGUAACGUCACCUGUGAAAUCUCCUGGCUCAACUGGGAGCUUGCAGGCGAAACUGCCGUGCUGGAGUGUGGGAGAGGUGCGUGGAAUUCCUGGUGUAGCGGUGAAAUGCGUAGAUAUCAGGAGGAACACCUGUGGCGAAAGCGGCGCACUGGACCACAACUGACGCUGAGGCGCGAAAGCUAGGGGAGCAAACAGG
Molecule: ribosomal RNA, 255 nt
Filed under: uncultured bacterium
Lineage: Bacteria
Description: partial 16S ribosomal RNA
Rfam family: Bacterial small subunit ribosomal RNA
Source: RNAcentral